Molecule: long non-coding RNA, 1326 nt
Organism: Trachemys scripta elegans
Lineage: Eukaryota; Metazoa; Chordata; Testudines; Emydidae
Exons: 3
Source: RefSeq, a predicted model, not a curated record
CUCAAGUGGUAACCAAGGAGGUGGGCUCAGAGUACAUGGACAUGCGGAUUGCAGCACUGCUCUUCUGAACUUGGCAUUCUCUCUAGCCUGCUGUGGGAUGGCGUAGUGGGAAGAGAAGGAAGUGAAUGGACAUCUCAUGCGAGAAGACCGACCUACCGUCCACCGAAGUGUGGAAGACUGAAAUUGCCACUAGGUGUACCUUGAUAGAUGUGAGCGCCAGACCCUGUUGCUUAAGAUGGAGCAAGUAUUCCAGCACAGCUGGAGGGAUGACUGAGUUGGCGAGAGACCUCGUUGAGAAGACCACACCAAGAAACGCUUCCAUUUGGCUAGGUCUACCUGGGGAGACCUCCACCUCUGGAAGAUGGAUCUCGUCACCUCUGGGUGAAGGGACCAUUCAUGAUGACAGGAAAAAGACCUGCUGACGUGAUCUGCGAGGGUAUUCCAGGCUCCUGGAAGAUGGCAAGACUUGAGGUGAAUUGAGUGUUUCAUACAGAAGUCCCACAGAUCAAUGGCCUCCUCGCACAGGGUAAAGAAUCAUGCUCCUCCCUCUCUGUUGAUGUAAAACAUGGCUGCCAUAUUGUCCAUAAGCACUCGCACAACUUUGUCCGUGAUCUGGGAAAGGAACACUUGGCAAGCUAAGCGGACUCUGAGCUCUCUGACAUUUAUACGUAAGGAGAGCUCUUCCAGGAACCACAGGCCCUGAGUCGAGCUUCCCAACCUAGAUCGGAUGCAUCUGAAAUGAAAGAUACUGAAGGCUAGGGGGAGGGGUUUGUAAGAAGGAAAGGCCUGCAGCCACCGAUCGGGGAUCCUUCACCAGUCAAGGGAGACGAGGACUGGGGCGGGAACUGUAAGCACUGGGCCAACCAAGCAUGCAGGGGUCUGAGGUGUGGCCUUGUGUGCCGUACCAUGUAAGUGCACACAGCCAUGUGUCCCAAAAGUUUGAGGGAAAAUGGGGCUGUCGUUAUGGGGUGGGCCUUAACCUUGGAUAUCAGAACCGAUAUUGUCUGGAAUCGAGCUUCUGGAAGGAAGGCUCUGUCCUGGGUCGAGUCUAGUACUGCUUUGAUAAACUCUAUUCUCUGGAUGGGAAUGAGAGUCGACUUUUGCUGGUUUAACAGCAGGCCCAGUGCACUGAAGGUGGCUUGGACCAGGCUGAUGCUGUUCUUCAGUUGAGCCUCUGAACGGCACUUGAUCAGCCAGUUGUCGGGGUACAGGUUAACUCUGACACCUUGCCUUCUGAAGAAGGCCACUACCACCACCAUUCUGUGAAAACCUGAGAGGCUGCUGACAGACCACAGGGGAGGACAGUGAAUUGGUAAUCGGUUUGGU